GUAGUUAACCUAACCUAUGGAUGGGGAUAACCUCGGGAAACUGAGAAUAAUACCCAAUAGAUCACAGUGCCUGGAAUGGCCUGUGAUUGAAAUGAUUUAUCGCUGUAGGAUGGGACUGCGGCCUAUCAGCUUGUUGGUGAGGUAAUGGCCCACCAAGGCUAUAACAGGUACGGGCUCUGAGAGGAGGGGCCCGGAGAUGGGUACUGAGACACGGACCCAGGCCCUAUGGGGCGCAGCAGGCGAGAAACCUUUGCAAUGUGCGAAAGCACGACAAGGUUAAUCCGAGUGUCUCCUGCUAAAGGAGUCUUUUGUCAGUUUUAGAAUCACUGGUGAAUAAGGGGUGGGCAAGUUCUGGUGUCAGCCGCCGCGGUAAAACCAGCACCUCGAGUGGUCAGGAGGUUUAUUGGGCCUAAAGCAUCCGUAGCCGGUUGCAUAAGUUUUCGGUUAAAUCUAUGCGCUCAACGUAUAGGCCGCCGAAAAUACUGUGCAGCUAGGGAGUGGGAGAGGUACACGGUACUCAGUAGGAAGGGGUAAAAUCCUUUGAUCUAUUGAUGACCACCUGUGGCGAAGGCGGUGUACCAGAACACGUUCGACGGUGAGGGAUGAAAGCUGGGGGAGCAAACCGGAUUAGAUACCCGGGUAGUCCCAGCUGUAAACGAUGCAGACUCGGUGAUGCAUUGGCUUGUGGCCAAUGCAGUGCCGCAGGGAAGCCGUUAAGUCCGCCGCCUGGGAAGUACGUACGCAAGUAUGAAACUUA
Molecule: ribosomal RNA, 757 nt
Filed under: uncultured crenarchaeote
Lineage: Archaea; Thermoproteati; Thermoproteota
Description: bacterial SSU rRNA
Rfam family: Archaeal small subunit ribosomal RNA
Source: RNAcentral